Molecule: long non-coding RNA, 1419 nt
Filed under: Parus major (Great Tit)
Lineage: Eukaryota; Metazoa; Chordata; Aves; Passeriformes; Paridae
Description: lncRNA (ENSPMJG00000002763.1)
Source: RNAcentral
CUGUAGUCAGCCAGGAGCUUGUACUGCAAUUGACAGGGCUAUUCAUGGAAAGGGUUUUGAUUAGAGUUGCCAUGACAAUGGGAAACACCUAAAAAAGAUCUAUGAAAUGUUAUAUCGGCAUCAAGCCAAGAAGUUAAGCCAAAUCCUGUGCUCUGGUUAUUCCUGUGAGUCAGUGCCUUUCAUCACAGCAUUGCUAAAAGAAGGAUUUGCUCGUCUGACUUUGAAGAUUUGGGAGAAACAGAGCACCCUGAUGGACCAGCUGCCUGAAGGGGACAGGUGGAUUUUAUCCAUUCAGGACAGCAGUGCAGGGUACAAAACACAGCCAGGGAGGGGCAUCAUCUCCUGCUUCUCCUCCUGUCUCCACCCCACCUAACAGCUCAGCAGCAGAAAGGACAGGCUUGUGUUCAAAGAGAAUAAUGGCACUGAUUUAGGAGAUCCUGGCAAGCAGAAAGCCAUUUCACACUGCCCUGGGAAACACGAGUCAGCCUGGGGAUAUCCUGAUUUUCUGUGUCAGGUGGAGCACUAAGGAAGACACUGCUGCUGACCACAAACAUUGACUGCCAAGCCUGAAGGAUAUGUCACUGUCCAAUGCAUGUUGUCAAGUGAAACAUGGUGUUUAUUUUCACUUUACAAUUUACAGAAUCAACAAGAUCCACAAGGCAUGGAUGGAUCUGGGUACCUCAGUCAGGACCCAAAGAACAGCUCAGUGAUGGAUAAAACUCACCCCUGUGCACCAGAGCAAUGCUGUAGAUGAACAGGGAAAGGCUGAUGUCCAGCUCUGACUCCAAGGGCAUCUGGAAUUAAAGAGCAGUAGUAACCCUGCAGCAGCAAGAAAGGAAAAUGACUGUGAUCAUUAACUGCACAGCUAUAAAUUCUCUGGGAUGAGAAACUUUCACACAGUUGUGAAGAAGCCAUCAUCAGCAUGGGCUCUGGUGCACAUGCACACACACACAGCAUAUGUACACACAGAGAGAUCAAUAGAUUGCAUAUGGUGCACAUGGCAUAAUUCAUGAUUCUUCCUGAAGGCUGUCACAAAUCUGAGAUGUAUUGGUUAAGAAGAGUACAGGGGUAGUCUUUUAAUUAGUCCACAGCUUGGCUGCAUUGUAAAAUUUACUCUCUGACAUUGCAGCCAAAAUUUACAACCUUUUAAAUCAAAGGAACAUCUCAUAGUCUGAGUUUUUGCUAAUAGGAGGUGUUAAUGAUAAAAGCACAAGCCUGGAAAAGUAACAUGUUAGACAAUUACUCAUAACAUUCAGAAGUGUUUCUCAGGCCAAGGUGUUAUCCUAUAAAAAUUAAUUCGAAAAUAUAUGGGGCUCCCAGAUGCCUUACUCAUAUCUGUAUAUUACCUGCCUGAUGCUGGUGGAAGGAAAGCUGCCCUUUGCUCCUCUGAGGUGAAUUCUUCCCAGAAGUGCUGUUAAA